UACGUAGGGUGCAAGCGUUGUCCGGAAUUAUUGGGCGUAAAGAGCUCGUAGGCGGUCUGUCACGUCGGCUGUGAAAUCCCGAGGCUCAACCUCGGGUCUGCAGUCGAUACGGGCAAACUAGAGUAUUGCAGGGGAGACUGGAAUUCCUGGUGUAGCGGUGAAAUGCGCAGAUAUCAGGAGGAACACCGGUGGCGAAGGCGGGUCUCUGGGCAACAACUGACGCUGAGGCACGAAAGCGUGGGGAGCGAACAGG
This 253-nucleotide ribosomal RNA is filed under the name uncultured bacterium. RNAcentral describes it as "partial 16S ribosomal RNA". It matches the Rfam family "Bacterial small subunit ribosomal RNA", at positions 524 to 776 of the family's 1533-position model. The record is from RNAcentral.